Ictidomys tridecemlineatus (thirteen-lined ground squirrel) is the source of this 1227-nucleotide non-coding RNA. NCBI's taxonomy places the organism in Eukaryota, Metazoa, Chordata, Mammalia, Rodentia, Sciuridae. The record is from RefSeq and is a predicted model, not a curated record.
UCCAGCUACAGGAAAACAAAAAUGAGUUUUGGGGUACUAAACUAAAAACACCAAGGAAGAAGGUAGGAAAGAGCCAGUGGCCAGUAAUGGUAAAGUAUAUUCAUUCUAAGUAAUGGGGAGCAAUAUUUUAAUAGCUGUUCAUGAAUUUUUCUUUUUUUAAGAGACAAGAGAUUUGUUAUGUGGCCCAGGCCGGCUCUGAACUCCAGGGCUCAACUGAUCCUCCUGCCUCAGCCACCCAAGUAGCUGGAAAUAUAGAAAAUAGGAAAAGUACCUCUGAACAGAAUGCAGAAUACUGGUUCCCUGAGGGAAACUGUGUUCUCUGCCAGAGCCUUGGUGUCUGAGAAUACUCCCUGUGGCAUGGCUGCCUGGAGCCAUUGGCUCACCUGUUCUUAAGAUGCUCUGGGCCUUCGCAUUGCCAAGUUUCGCAGCUUGGAUGAGGUGGAGUGCACCCACGGCUUCAUCUUUUGGCACUGACAUCCCUUCCACCAAGAGCAGGUCCUCUGAGCCGAGUGAAGAGAGUGAGGAGAAGCAGUUGUUAGUGAGCUGUGGGCAGCCCUGGGGAGAGGCCAAGCUUAUGUGCUUAUGGGCAGCAAGCCCCGAGUGAGGUGCUUUCUGUUUAUAGUCGCAGGGCUGAAGAUGAAGCUCAGUAGUAGAGCACUUGCCCAGUAUGCACAAGGCCCUGAGUUCAAUUCCCAGCCCCGUGGACACAUUAUGCAAAACUUUAUUAUUCAUAAACAUCCAUAUAUAUUGCCCCCCCCAAAGCCUUUGCUGCCCUCUUGAUAACUGGCUAUACAUAAUCCAAAACUUCUAUAGCUGGGAAAAAUCUCAAAUGUGAUGACAGUCUUCUAGCCCUCUGGCUCCCUUGCUUUUCACUUCUAAAUACUGGAGUCUUUAAAGUAUUCUGUCCCCACAAAUGAUCAGGCUCCUUAAUUCAGUUCCAUCCUCAUCUACCCCAGACGCAGUGCCACACUACUUCAGUGCCCAAUGUUCUAGGGUAGCAUGGCACAGCAACUGCAGAGCAGUCAGGCCUGGGUGCGGUUCCAGCUCUGCCACUACUAACUGCAUAGACCUCCCCAUGUCACUUCAUCACUAUAUAUUCCUCCCUUCUAGAAUACUGGGGCAGUAGUACCUAGGGUCAUUUCAGAGAUCAAAUGAGAUAAUGGAUUAUUAAGUACUUAACAAUGCUGGCUAGAGUAAAUGCUAAAUAAACAGUAGAGAUUUCUAUUA